Molecule: ribosomal RNA, 783 nt
Filed under: Triticum aestivum (bread wheat)
Lineage: Eukaryota; Viridiplantae; Streptophyta; Magnoliopsida; Poales; Poaceae
Description: partial small subunit ribosomal RNA
Source: RNAcentral
GUCCUAAGAGCCAAGCAAGCGUGGCGUCUCGUGGAUAAUCCUGAAUCGUUAUGUGCAACAAUCCUAAGAGCCAAGUAUUUCCCCGAAGGUGAUUUGAUGAGCGCAGUAUUAAAAAGGGCCUCCUUUACUUGGCAAAGCAUUAUGGCGGGAGUGGACUCUCUCAAGAACGGCUAUAUAUGGAGAGUGGGAACGGGAGAAAAUAUUGACAUAUGGAGAGAUGCAUGGCCAAAUUGUGCAGACAGGAAAAUUAUUACACCUAGAAGGGGGAAUCUACUGACGAAAGUUUCUGAUCUUAUUAACCCAGUCACAAACGGUCGGGAUGAAGAGUUGGUGAGACAAACUUUAUGGCCAAUUGAUGCCCGUAGAGUACUAGCGAUCCCGAUCCCUAUGCAUAAUAUGUCGGAUUUUAUUGCAUGGAGCUAUACAAAAAACGGUUUAUUCACUGUACAAUCAGCUUAUGUGGAGGAAUGGAAUAAGCAACAUGGGAGGAAGUUGGAAUACUCGAAUGGCAUGGGCAGAAGUAACGUCAAUCCUAUUUGGGGUAAGAUCUGGAAAUUAGCUUGUCCGGCAAAGGUUAAAAAAUUUAUUUGGCGGACGCUUCACGGGACCCUACCGUGUCGUGUUACAUUGGCCAACAGACAUAUAAAAACUCAGCCAAUAUGCCCAGCAUGUUUGGAUGGGCCAGAGGACACAAAACAUAUAUUAUUUCUGUGCCAGAAGGCAAAGGAAGUGUGGGAAUAUUUGGGGUUGUAUGAAGUGGUGACAAAAAGCCUGCGUCAUUGA